Cyprinus carpio carpio is the source of this 4511-nucleotide long non-coding RNA. NCBI's taxonomy places the organism in Eukaryota, Metazoa, Chordata, Actinopteri, Cypriniformes, Cyprinidae. The record is from Ensembl.
GGACAAGGGAGUUCACUGAAGCUCUAACAUAAGUUUCAAUGCAAAGAACUUCUAAACACAUUAAAAACUGUCUUUCUGCAUUGCAAAUAACAUUUCAUUUCAUGAGUCAUAAAGAUCUUUUAUGUUGACAAGUUUUACUCCUAACAUUGAAUGUAGCAACUUCCUCUCACUGAGACAGGCUUUGCAGCAUAGGUGGACUUGAUUUCUUUUCAUUUGCCCAGAAGCACUAACUCAGCAUAAAUGUUCACAGAAGAUGCAAACUACCAAGGCAGUUCACUGAAACUCUAACAAAAGUUUCUUUGUGUAGAACUUCUAACACAUUAAAAAAUGUCUUUUGCAUUGCAAAUAACAUUUCAUUUCAUGAGUCAGAAACAUUUUUCAUGUUGGCAAGUCUUAUUCUUAACAGUGAAUGUAGCAACUUUAACUCAUUGAGAGAGAAGCUUUGCUUCUGUGAACACUAAUGCUGAGUUACAUUAAGGCAGUUCAUUGAUGCUCUGACAUAAGUUUCAGUCCAAAGAACUUCUAACACAUUAAAAACUGUCUUUCUGCAUUGCAAAUAACAUUUCAUUUCAUGAGUCAGAAACAUCUAUCAUGUUGGCAAGUUUUACUCUUUACACUGAAUGUAGCAACUUUAACUCAUUGAGAGAGAAGCUUUGCUUCUGUGAACACUAAUGCUGAGUUACAUUAAGGCAGUUCAUUGAUGCUCUAACAUGAGUUUCAGUCCAAAGAACUUCUAACACAUUAAAAACUGUCUUUCUGCAUUGAAAAAUGACAUUUCAUUUCAUGAGUCAGAAACAUCUUUCAUGUUGGCAAGCUUUACUCUUAACACUGAUGUAGCAACUUUCUCUCACUGAGACGGAAGCUUUGCAGCAUAUGUGGGCUUGCGUUCUCUUCAGUUGCCCAGAAGCACCAACUCAGCAUAAGUGUUCACAGAACAUGCAAACUGACAAGGCAGUUCAUUGUAGCUCUAACAUGAGUUUCAGUGCAAAGAACUUAUAACAUAUUACAAACUGUCUUUCUGCAUUGCAAAUAACAUUUCAUUUAAUGAGUCAGAAACAUCUUUCAUGUUGGCAAGUUUUACUCUUAACAGUGAAUGUAGCAACUUUCUCUCACUGAGAGAGAAGCUUUGCCGCAUAUUUGGACUUGCUUUCUUUUCAUUUGCACAGAAGCAUUAACUCAGUAUUAGUGAUGACAGAAUAUGCAAACUGAUAAGGCAGUUCACUGAAGCUCUAACAUAAUUUCAGUGCAAAGAACAUCUAAAACAUUAAAAACCGUCUUUCUGCAUUGCAAAUAACAUUUCAUGAGUCAAAAACAUCUUUCAUGUUGGCAAGUUUUAAUCUUAACAGUGAAUAUAGCAACUUUCUCUCACUGAGACAGAAUCAUUGCAGCAUAGGUGGACUUGCUUUCUUUUCAUUUGCCCAGAAGCACUAACUCAGCCUUCGUGUUCGCAGAAGAUGCAAACUGACAAGGCAGUUCGCUAAAGCUCUAACAAAAUUUCUUUGCAUAGAACUUCUAACACAUUAAAAACUGUCUUUUGCAUUGCAAAUAACAUUUCAUUUCAUGAGUCAGAAACAUCUUUCAUUUUGAAAAGUUUUGCUCAUAACUCUGAAUUUAGCAACUUUCUCUCACUGACAGAGAAGUUUUGCAGCAUAUGUCGACUUGCUUACUUUUCAUUUGCCCAAAAGCAUUAACUCAGUAUUAGUGAUCUCAGACGCUGUAAACUGACAAGGAUGAUCAUUGACACUGUAACAAAAGUUUCUCUGUAUAGAACUUCUUAAACAUUAAAAACUGUCUUUCUGGAUUGAAAAAUGACAUUUCAUUUCAUGAGUCAGAAACAUCUUUCAUGUUGGCAAGUUUUACUCUUAACACUGUAUGUAGCAACUUUCUCUCACUGAGACGGAAGCUUUGCAGCAUAUGUGGGCUUGCGUUCUCUUCAGUUGCCCAGAAGCACCAACUCAACAUAAGAGUUCACAGAACAUGCAAACUGACAAGGCAGUUCAUUGAAGCUCUAACAUGAGUUUCAGUGCAAAGAACUUCUAACACAUUAAAAACUGUCUUUCUGCUCUGAAAAUAACAUUUCAUUUCAGGAGUCAGAAACAUCUUUCAUGUUGGCAAGUGUUGUUCUUAACAUUGUAUUAAGGUACUUUCUCUCACUAAAAGAGAAGCUUUGCAGCUUAUGUGGGCUUGCUUUCAAAUCAUUUUGCCCAGAAGCACCAACUCAACAUAAGUGGUCACAGAAGCUGUAAAAUGACAAGGCUGAUCACUGACACUCCAACAAAAGUUUCUCUGUAUAGAACUUCUAAUGCAUUAAAAACUGUCUUUAUGCAUUGCAAAUAACAUUUCAUUUCAUUAGUCAGAAACAUCUAUCAUGUUGGCAAGUUUUACUCUUAACACUGAAUGUAGCAACUUUCUCUCACUGAGAGAGAAGCUUUGCUUCUGUGAACACUAAUGCUGAGUUACAUUAAGGCAGUUCAUUGAUGCUCUAACAUAAGUUUCAGUCCAAAGAACUUUUAACACAUUAAAAACUGUCUUUUGCAUUGCAAAUAACAUUUCAUUUCAUGAGUCAGAAACAUCUUUUUUAUUUUCAAGUUUUGCUCUUAACUCUGAAUUUAGCAACUUUCUCUCACUGACAGAGAAGUUUUGCAGCAUAUGUCGACUUGCUUUUCAUUUGCCCACAAGCAUUAACUCAGUAUUAGUGAUCUCAGACGCUGUAAACUGACAAGGAUGAUCAUUGACACUGUAACAAAAGUUUCUCCGUAUAGAACUUCUAAAACAUAAAAAAAAAAGACAUUUCAUUUCAUGAGUCAGAAACAUCUUUCAUGUUGGCAAGUUUUGCUCUUAACAAUGAAUUAAGCAACUUUCUCUCACUGAGAGCGAAGAUUUACAGCAUAUGUGGGCUUGCGUUGUCUUCAUUUGCUUAGAUGCACUUACAUAGUAUUACUGUUAACAGAAGCACUAAACUAGGUUCUUGUGCUGAGAAGCUCUAACAUAAGUUCAUGAGUAUAAAACUCCUAACAAAUUCAAAUCUGUCUUUCUGCAUUGCAAAUAUACUCUUAUAAAAAAAGAGUGUUCAAUUCAUUCGCGAAACUACCGCCAGGUGGCGCAAAGAGACGGAUUGCGAACUGAAUGUAAUUGUAAAAUGAGAUAAAAGGAAGAGGUAAAACAACAAUAACAUUAUGAUAUAACAUUGUACCAUCUUUAAAAACCAUUAAAAAAUGUACAGUGAGUUAAUUUCAAAAUGUAGGAUAGUCUUAGGCUACAGUCUACUCAUCAAAAAUUAAAAGAAAGACCUUUACACAAAGGAUCUUAUGCUUGCUAUUGUUAUUAAACAGUCAUUAAAUAAGGCCUAUUUAUACGGAUAAAAAGGUAAAUGUUUUCAUUUCGGUUCAUUCUUGGUUUAAAAAAAAAUCCUUCAGGUUCCAUUUGCAGAUCGAAAUGAGAACGGUCCAGCAUUUAGCAAUAAUAUUUAUUAAUUCUGUUAUUAUUCUUGAUUUUUCAAACUGCUAACACUUUGCAUUUUUGAAUUAUGCCUUUACUGUGACCAAAAAUUUUGUAUUUUCUGUUUCAGCUGGUGCCUCGCGCACAUUCAUUGGAAACAGUAGCCGUUCACCGUGCCAUCCAGCGCGAGCAGCGGUCCACUUUGGCAUAUUUUUGUUAAUUAUGAUUUUUUUUUUUUUUUUCGUCGAUACUGAAACAUGCGUGAACUACAAAGCCUAUUUUUCCUAAUGAAUAAUAGUUAAGCUUGAUAUAGGCAACAUCACGAAUAUGGAAACGUUUGGAUUUCUCCCGAAUGAGAGCCCAAACUUACCUUAUGGUUCGCUUUAAAUUAUUAUUCAUUUAUUUAUUUUUUGUUUGUUUAUAGCUAAGCCUAUAUUAUUAUAUACUGCAAUUUUAUUUAUCCAUUAGAAUUAUAUAUUUGUAAUUAUUGUUCUGUUCUGAUAAAUUUGUUAAAUUUAAAGGAUUUGUUGUAAAGUGAAGAGAACUAAAAAUAUCCUGUUGGCACAUUAUAACAUUAUUAGGCCAGCCAUUAUUAUUUCUGAAUGUAAUAAAAUGCAACUUAUACAUGACUUAUAUAUUUUUUUCCUCUCACAAAUUAAAUUUAUUUUUUAGCCUCUUUUAAAAAAUAAAUAAAUAAAAUAAAAUAACAUGCAGCAAACGAAAAUAUGCAAUUAAUCGGUUAAAAUUUGUUGCUGUGGGGUAAUUAUAAUUAUUAUAUACUUAGGAACAGAGUCCGGGCCUAAUCUAGGCUAUCCAGGGUUUUUAUUUUUUUUAAUUUUCAUUGCAUCUGAAAAUGACUUUGUGCAGCACAUUCACUUCGCACGCUCAACCUGCCUCGCGCGUUGCUCAGUUGUAGACAAUAUAAAAAUGUUUGAUAUAAAGGUUGCUGUCCCAUUUUAUACAGGAAUUGUUCAUUAAAAAAAAAAAUCUAAUUAUAUUGUUAGUUCUAAUUAUAUUGUUAACACAAGUUCAUUUAGGCUAUUUAACAUGCACUGUGACAUUUUACCCUUUUU